This 73-nucleotide transfer RNA is filed under the name Actinomycetota bacterium. RNAcentral describes it as "tRNA-Ala". It matches the Rfam family "tRNA". Rfam says of the family: Transfer RNA (tRNA) molecules are approximately 80 nucleotides in length. Their secondary structure includes four short double-helical elements and three loops (D, anti-codon, and T loops). The record is from RNAcentral. RNAcentral also lists the same sequence under 1 other name. Lineage: Bacteria; Bacillati; Actinomycetota.
GGGGCCGUAGCUCAGUUGGUAGAGCGUCGCCAUGGCAUGGCGAAGGCCAGGGGUUCGAUUCCCCUCGGCUCCA